Molecule: ribosomal RNA, 1408 nt
Filed under: uncultured bacterium
Lineage: Bacteria
Description: bacterial SSU rRNA
Rfam family: Bacterial small subunit ribosomal RNA
Source: RNAcentral
AGAGUUUGAUCCUGGCUCAGGACGAACGCUGGCGGCGUGCCUAAUACAUGCAAGUCGAACGCUUCUUUUUCCACCGGAGCUUGCUCCACCGGAAAAAGAGGAGUGGCGAACGGGUGAGUAACACGUGGGUAACCUGCCCAUCAGAAGGGGAUAACACUUGGAAACAGGUGCUAAUACCGUAUAACAAUCGAAACCGCAUGGUUUUGAUUUGAAAGGCGCUUUCGGGUGUCGCUGAUGGAUGGACCCGCGGUGCAUUAGCUAGUUGGUGAGGUAACGGCUCACCAAGGCGACGAUGCAUAGCCGACCUGAGAGGGUGAUCGGCCACAUUGGGACUGAGACACGGCCCAAACUCCUACGGGAGGCAGCAGUAGGGAAUCUUCGGCAAUGGACGAAAGUCUGACCGAGCAACGCCGCGUGAGUGAAGAAGGUUUUCGGAUCGUAAAACUCUGUUGUUAGAGAAGAACAAGGAUGAGAGUAACUGUUCAUCCCUUGACGGUAUCUAACCAGAAAGCCACGGCUAACUACGUGCCAGCAGCCGCGGUAAUACGUAGGUGGCAAGCGUUGUCCGGAUUUAUUGGGCGUAAAGCGAGCGCAGGCGGUUUCUUAAGUCUGAUGUGAAAGCCCCCGGCUCAACCGGGGAGGGUCAUUGGAAACUGGGAGACUUGAGUGCAGAAGAGGAGAGUGGAAUUCCAUGUGUAGCGGUGAAAUGCGUAGAUAUAUGGAGGAACACCAGUGGCGAAGGCGGCUCUCUGGUCUGUAACUGACGCUGAGGCUCGAAAGCGUGGGGAGCAAACAGGAUUAGAUACCCUGGUAGUCCACGCCGUAAACGAUGAGUGCUAAGUGUUGGAGGGUUUCCGCCCUUCAGUGCUGCAGCUAACGCAUUAAGCACUCCGCCUGGGGAGUACAACCGCAAGGUUGAAACUCAAAGGAAUUGACGGGGGCCCGCACAAGCGGUGGAGCAUGUGGUUUAAUUCGAAGCAACGCGAAGAACCUUACCAGGUCUUGACAUCCUUUGACCACUCUAGAGAUAGAGCUUCCCCUUCGGGGGCAAAGUGACAGGUGGUGCAUGGUUGUCGUCAGCUCGUGUCGUGAGAUGUUGGGUUAAGUCCCGCAACGAGCGCAACCCUUAUUGUUAGUUGCCAUCAUUUAGUUGGGCACUCUAGCAAGACUGCCGGUGACAAACCGGAGGAAGGUGGGGAUGACGUCAAAUCAUCAUGCCCCUUAUGACCUGGGCUACACACGUGCUACAAUGGGAAGUACAACGAGUCGCAAAGUCGCGAGGCUAAGCUAAUCUCUUAAAGCUUCUCUCAGUUCGGAUUGUAGGCUGCAACUCGCCUACAUGAAGCCGGAAUCGCUAGUAAUCGCGGAUCAGCUCGCCGCGGUGAAUACGUUCCCGGGCCUUGCACAC